GGAGAGGUGGCCGAGAGGCUUAAGGCGGCGGUUUGCUAAACCGUUAUACGGUUUAAUGUCGUAUCAAGGGUUCGAAUCCCUUUCUCUCCACCA
This 93-nucleotide transfer RNA is filed under the name Orientia chuto str. Dubai. RNAcentral describes it as "tRNA-Ser". It matches the Rfam family "tRNA". Rfam says of the family: Transfer RNA (tRNA) molecules are approximately 80 nucleotides in length. Their secondary structure includes four short double-helical elements and three loops (D, anti-codon, and T loops). Further hydrogen bonds mediate the characteristic L-shaped molecular structure. tRNAs have two regions of fundamental functional importance: the anti-codon, which is responsible for specific mRNA codon recognition, and the 3' end, to which the tRNAs corresponding amino acid is attached (by aminoacyl-tRNA synthetases). tRNAs cope with the degeneracy of the genetic code in two manners: having more than one tRNA (with a specific anti-codon) for a particular amino acid; and 'wobble' base-pairing, i.e. permitting non-standard base-pairing at the 3rd anti-codon position. The record is from RNAcentral. Lineage: Bacteria; Pseudomonadati; Pseudomonadota; Alphaproteobacteria; Rickettsiales; Rickettsiaceae.